RNAcentral lists this non-coding RNA (108 nucleotides) under Hemiselmis andersenii. Lineage: Eukaryota; Cryptophyceae; Cryptomonadales; Hemiselmidaceae. The record is from RNAcentral.
AAUGAAGGGAGAAGGAAACCAAAAAAAAAAAAAAAAAAAAAAAAAAUCAACCGCGUGCUUCUUUUGUUUAUUUCCAAUUUUUUUCUUUUUUUUUUUUUUUAAUUUUAU